UACGUAGGGGCCAAGCGUUGUCCGGAAUCAUUGGGCGUAAAGGGCGUGUAGGCGGUCUUUUAAGUCAGAUGUUAAAUCUACGGGCUCAACUCGUAGCCGCAUCUGAUACUGGGAGACUAGAGAGUGGUAGAGGAAAGCGGAACUUCCGGUGUAGCGGUGAAAUGCGUAGAUAUCGGAAGGAACACCAGUGGCGAAGGCGGCUUUCUGGGCCAUUUCUGACGCUGAGACGCGAAAGCUAGGGGAGC
This 245-nucleotide ribosomal RNA is filed under the name uncultured bacterium. Its description in RNAcentral is "partial 16S ribosomal RNA". It matches the Rfam family "Bacterial small subunit ribosomal RNA", at positions 524 to 769 of the family's 1533-position model. The record is from RNAcentral.